GAUGAACGCUGGCGGCGUGCCUAAUACAUGCAAGUCGAGCGAACGGACGAGAAGCUUGCUUCUCUGAUGUUAGCGGCGGACGGGUGAGUAACACGUGGAUAACCUACCUAUAAGACUGGGAUAACUUCGGGAAACCGGAGCUAAUACCGGAUAAUAUUUUGAACCGCAUGGUUCAAAAGUGAAAGACGGUCUUGCUGUCACUUAUAGAUGGAUCCGCGCUUCAUUAGCUAGUUGGUAAGGUAACGGCUUACCAAGGCAACGAUGCAUAGCCGACCUGAGAGGGUGAUCGGCCACACUGGGACUGAGACACGGUCCAUACUCCUACGGGAGGCAGCAGUAGGGAAUCUUCCGCAAUGGGCGAAAGCCUGACGGAGCAACGCCGCGUGAGUGAUGAUGGUCUUCGGAUCGUAAAACUCUGUUAUUAGGGAAGAACAUAUGUGUAAGUAACUGUGCACAUCUUGACGGUACCUAAUCAGAAAGCCACGGCUAACUACGUG
Molecule: ribosomal RNA, 497 nt
Filed under: uncultured bacterium
Lineage: Bacteria
Description: partial 16S ribosomal RNA
Rfam family: Bacterial small subunit ribosomal RNA
Source: RNAcentral